RNAcentral lists this long non-coding RNA (339 nucleotides) under Medicago truncatula (barrel medic). Its description in RNAcentral is "long non-coding RNA (MTRU_LNC000022)". The record is from RNAcentral. Lineage: Eukaryota; Viridiplantae; Streptophyta; Magnoliopsida; Fabales; Fabaceae.
CUAAAUUCUCCAAGGAAUCAUUCAACUCUUUCUUUGUUAUACGGCCAUCGUCGUUGCGGUCAAACAUUUGGAAAACACGUUUGAGCUCAUUUGGAUCCAUUGUUAUUGUCUUGGUAAAAACAAGACCUCUUUUUGAUGUGGAAGAAGGUGUGGUUAAGGUUUGAUGAGUGAACCAAGAAUGAGGGAAGAAGGUUAUAAGUUUCUUAGGAACAAGACUAAUGAGAAAUGAAUUGACAACGUUGUAUAAAAGGAAAAUUCUAAGCAAAAUAGUUGGCAUUUCUAACAAGGAAGCGAGUAAUUUGUAGUAUUGUUUAUGACUUAUGUUGCUGUUGGUGUUGG